UUAAAACUAAGGCUCAGCCUUGUGUUGACCAAUUCCCGGACGGGAACGGUCGAAAAACAUGAAGACUCCAAAGAUGGAAGCAGUACGCAAAAGUAUUCGUGACCAGCCUUUUGGGUCUUGAUUUUUAUCAA
This 131-nucleotide unclassified non-coding RNA is filed under the name uncultured Lecanoromycetes. RNAcentral's name for it is "sequence contains ITS2". The record is from RNAcentral. Lineage: Eukaryota; Fungi; Ascomycota; Lecanoromycetes.